GACGAACGCUGGCGGCGUGCUUAACACAUGCAAGUCGAACGGAAAGGCCCUGCUUUUGUGGGGUGCUCGAGUGGCGAACGGGUGAGUAACACGUGAGUAACCUGCCCUUGACUUUGGGAUAACUUCAGGAAACUGGGGCUAAUACCGGAUAGGAGCUCCUGCCGCAUGGUGGGAGUUGGAAAGUUUCGGCGGUUGGGGAUGGACUCGCGGCUUAUCAGCUUGUUGGUGGGGUAGUGGCUUACCAAGGCUUUGACGGGUAGCCGGCCUGAGAGGGUGACCGGCCACAUUGGGACUGAGAUACGGCCCAGACUCCUACGGGAGGCAGCAGUGGGGAAUAUUGCACAAUGGGCGGAAGCCUGAUGCAGCAACGCCGCGUGCGGGAUGACGGCCUUCGGGUUGUAAACCGCUUUCGCCUGUGACGAAGCGUGAGUGACGGUAAUGGGUAAAGAAGCACCGGCUAACUACGUG
RNAcentral lists this ribosomal RNA (468 nucleotides) under uncultured bacterium. Its description in RNAcentral is "partial 16S ribosomal RNA". It matches the Rfam family "Bacterial small subunit ribosomal RNA", at positions 28 to 507 of the family's 1533-position model. The record is from RNAcentral.